This 497-nucleotide ribosomal RNA is filed under the name uncultured bacterium. RNAcentral's name for it is "partial 16S ribosomal RNA". It matches the Rfam family "Bacterial small subunit ribosomal RNA", at positions 28 to 507 of the family's 1533-position model. The record is from RNAcentral.
GAUGAACGCUGGCGGCGUGCCUAAUACAUGCAAGUCGAGCGAACAGACGAGGAGCUUGCUCCUCUGACGUUAGCGGCGGACGGGUGAGUAACACGUGGAUAACCUACCUAUAAGACUGGGAUAACUUCGGGAAACCGGAGCUAAUACCGGAUAAUAUAUUGAACCGCAUGGUUCAAUAGUGAAAGACGGUUUUGCUGUCACUUAUAGAUGGAUCCGCGCCGCAUUAGCUAGUUGGUAAGGUAACGGCUUACCAAGGCAACGAUGCGUAGCCGACCUGAGAGGGUGAUCGGCCACACUGGAACUGAGACACGGUCCAGACUCCUACGGGAGGCAGCAGUAGGGAAUCUUCCGCAAUGGGCGAAAGCCUGACGGAGCAACGCCGCGUGAAUGAUGAAGGUCUUCGGAUCGUAAAACUCUGUUAUUAGGGAAGAACAAAUGUGUAAGUAACUAUGCGCGUCUUGACGGUACCUAAUCAGAAAGCCACGGCUAACUACGUG